CGGCGGACGGGUGAGUAACACGUGGAUAACCUACCUAUAAGACUGGGAUAACUUCGGGAAACCGGAGCUAAUACCGGAUAAUAUAUUGAACCGCAUGGUUCAAUGGUGAAAGACGGUUUUGCUGUCACUUAUAGAUGGAUCCGCGCCGUAUUAGCUAGUUGGUAAGGUAACGGCUUACCAAGGCAACGAUGCGUAGCCGACCUGAGAGGGUGAUCGGCCACACUGGAACUGAGACACGGUCCAGACUCCUACGGGAGGCAGCAGCC
RNAcentral lists this ribosomal RNA (266 nucleotides) under uncultured Staphylococcus sp. RNAcentral's name for it is "partial 16S ribosomal RNA". It matches the Rfam family "Bacterial small subunit ribosomal RNA", at positions 96 to 355 of the family's 1533-position model. Lineage: Bacteria; Bacillati; Bacillota; Bacilli; Caryophanales; Staphylococcaceae. The record is from RNAcentral.